This 449-nucleotide ribosomal RNA is filed under the name uncultured bacterium. RNAcentral's name for it is "partial 16S ribosomal RNA". It matches the Rfam family "Bacterial small subunit ribosomal RNA", at positions 355 to 796 of the family's 1533-position model. The record is from RNAcentral.
UAGGGAAUCUUCCACAAUGGACGCAAGUCUGAUGGAGCAACGCCGCGUGAGUGAAGAAGGCUUUCGGGUCGUAAAACUCUGUUAUUGAAGAAGAACGUGUGUGACAGUAACUGGUCAUGCAGUGACGGUAUUCAAUCAGAAAGUCACGGCUAACUACGUGCCAGCAGCCGCGGUAAUACGUAGGUGGCAAGCGUUGUCCGGAUUUAUUGGGCGUAAAGCGAGUGCAGGCGGUCUUUUAAGUCUGAUGUGAAAGCCUUCGGCUUAACCGAAGAAGGGCAUCGGAAACUGGGAGACUUGAGUGCAGAAGAGGAGAGUGGAACUCCAUGUGUAGCGGUGAAAUGCGUAGAUAUAUGGAAGAACACCAGUGGCGAAGGCGGCUCUCUGGUCUGUAACUGACGCUGAGGCUCGAAAGCGUGGGUAGCAAACAGGAUUAGAUACCCUGGUAGUCC